CGUGCGGUAGCUCAGUGGUAGAGCUCUCGCUUCGUACGUGGGAAGACCUGGGUUCGAUUCCCGGUUGCUUAC
Molecule: transfer RNA, 72 nt
Filed under: Toxocara canis (dog roundworm)
Lineage: Eukaryota; Metazoa; Nematoda; Chromadorea; Rhabditida; Toxocaridae
Rfam family: tRNA
About the family: Transfer RNA (tRNA) molecules are approximately 80 nucleotides in length. Their secondary structure includes four short double-helical elements and three loops (D, anti-codon, and T loops).
Source: Rfam by way of RNAcentral